RNAcentral lists this ribosomal RNA (914 nucleotides) under uncultured Bacteroidota bacterium. RNAcentral describes it as "bacterial SSU rRNA". It matches the Rfam family "Bacterial small subunit ribosomal RNA", at positions 1 to 906 of the family's 1533-position model. The record is from RNAcentral. Lineage: Bacteria; Pseudomonadati; Bacteroidota.
GGAUCCAGACUUUGAUUAUGGCUCAGGAUGAACGCUAGCUACAGGCUUAACACAUGCAAGUCGAGGGGAAACGACAUCGAAAGCUUGCUUUUGAUGGGCGUCGACCGGCGCACGGGUGAGUAACGCGUAUCCAACCUGCCCACCACUUGGGGAUAACCUUGCGAAAGUAAGACUAAUACCCAAUGAUAUCUCUAGAAGACAUCUGAAAGGGAUUAAAGAUUUAUCGGUGAUGGAUGGGGAUGCGUCUGAUUAGCUUGUUGGCGGGGUAACGGCCCACCAAGGCGACGAUCAGUAGGGGUUCUGAGAGGAAGGUCCCCCACAUUGGAACUGAGACACGGUCCAAACUCCUACGGGAGGCAGCAGUGAGGAAUAUUGGUCAAUGGACGAGAGUCUGAACCAGCCAAGUAGCGUGCAGGAAGACGGCCCUAUGGGUUGUAAACUGCUUUUAUAAGGGAAUAAAGUGAGUCUCGUGAGACUUUUUGCAUGUACCUUAUGAAUAAGGACCGGCUAAUUCCGUGCCAGCAGCCGCGGUAAUACGGAAGGUCCGGGCGUUAUCCGGAUUUAUUGGGUUUAAAGGGAGCGUAGGCCGGAGAUUAAGCGUGUUGUGAAAUGUAGACGCUCAACGUCUGCACUGCAGCGCGAACUGGUUUCCUUGAGUACGCACAAAGUGGGCGGAAUUCGUGGUGUAGCGGUGAAAUGCUUAGAUAUCACGAAGAACUCCGAUUGCGAAGGCAGCUCACUGGAGCGCAACUGACGCUGAAGCUCGAAAGUGCGGGUAUCGAACAGGAUUAGAUACCCUGGUAGUCCGCACGGUAAACGAUGGAUGCCCGCUGUUGGUCUGUAUAGGUCAGCGGCCAAGCGAAAGCAUUAAGCAUCCCACCUGGGGAGUACGCCGGCAACGGUGCAACUCAAAU